AAACUUCUUUAUCACCGAGUGCUUGCACUCACCGAUAAAGAGUUGAGUGGCGAACGGGUGAGUAACACGUGGGCAACCUGCCCAAAAGAGGGGGAUAACACUUGGAAACAGGUGCUAAUACCGCAUAACCAUAGUUACCGCAUGGUAACUAUGUAAAAGGUGGCUAUACUACCGCUUUUGGAUGGGCCCGCGGCGCAUUAGCUAGUUGGUAGGGUAAAGGCUUACCAAGGCAAUGAUGCGUAGCCGAAUUGAGAGGUUGAUCGGCCACAUUGGGACUGAGACACGGCCCAAACUCCUACGGGAGGCAGCAGUAGGGAAUCUUCCACAAUGGGCGAAAGCCUGAUGGAGCAACGCCGCGUGGGUGAAGAAGGUCUUCGGAUCGUAAAACCCUGUUGUUAGAGAAGAAAGUGCGUGAGAGUAACUGUUCACGUUUCGACGGUAUCUAACCAGAAAGCCACGGCUAACUACGUGCCAGCAGCCGCGGUAAUACGUAGGUGGCAAGCGUUAUCCGGAUUUAUUGGGCGUAAAGGGAACGCAGGCGGUCUUUUAAGUCUGAUGUGAAAGCCUUCGGCUUAACCGGAGUAGUGCAUUGGAAACUGGGAGACUUGAGUGCAGAAGAGGAGAGUGGAACUCCAUGUGUAGCGGUGAAAUGCGUAGAUAUAUGGAAGAACACCAGUGGCGAAAGCGGCUCUCUGGUCUGUAACUGACGCUGAGGUUCGAAAGCGUGGGUAGCAAACAGGAUUAGAUACCCUGGUAGUC
Molecule: ribosomal RNA, 759 nt
Filed under: uncultured bacterium
Lineage: Bacteria
Description: bacterial SSU rRNA
Rfam family: Bacterial small subunit ribosomal RNA
Source: RNAcentral